Molecule: ribosomal RNA, 400 nt
Filed under: uncultured bacterium
Lineage: Bacteria
Description: bacterial SSU rRNA
Rfam family: Bacterial small subunit ribosomal RNA
Source: RNAcentral
UUUGGAAUUUUGCACAAUGGGCGAAAGCCUGAUGCAGCGACGCCGCGUGGACGAUGAAGGCCUUCGGGUUGUAAAGUCCUUUUGGCAGGGAACAAUAUUUGAGUGUACCUGCAGAAUAAGAGGUUGCUAACUCUGUGCCAGCAGCAGCGGUAAUACAGAGACCUCAAGCGUUAUCCGGAAUCAUUGGGCGUAAAGCGUACCGACAGGUGGUUUAGAAAGUCAGAAGUGAAAUCUCUCAGCUUAACUGGGAGAAUGUCUUUUGAAACUUCUAAACUAGAGGGACAAAGAGGAAGCUGGAACGAACGGUGUAGUAGUGAAAUGCGUUGAUAUCGUUCGGAACACCAAUAGCGUAGGCAGGCUUCUGGGUGUCACCUGACACUGCUAGGACGAAAGCGUGGGG